AGUCUGAUGCAGCCAUGCCGCGUGAGUGAUGACGGCCCUCGGGUUGUAAAGCUCUUUUUGUAGGGAAGAUAAUGACGGUACCUGUAGAUGAAGCCCCGGCUAACUUCAUGCCAGCUCCCGCGGUAAUUGAGCCAGCACCCGCGGUAAU
This 148-nucleotide ribosomal RNA is filed under the name uncultured bacterium. RNAcentral's name for it is "partial 16S ribosomal RNA". It matches the Rfam family "Bacterial small subunit ribosomal RNA", at positions 380 to 540 of the family's 1533-position model. The record is from RNAcentral.